RNAcentral lists this RNase P RNA (350 nucleotides) under Candidatus Zixiibacteriota bacterium. RNAcentral's name for it is "candidate division Zixibacteria bacterium (sediment metagenome) RNase P RNA component class A". It matches the Rfam family "Bacterial RNase P class A". From Rfam's summary of the family: Ribonuclease P (RNase P) is a ubiquitous endoribonuclease, found in archaea, bacteria and eukarya as well as chloroplasts and mitochondria. Lineage: Bacteria; Pseudomonadati; Candidatus Zixiibacteriota. The record is from RNAcentral.
CCGGCCGGGCGAGCCGUCGCUCCCCGGGAAAUCGGGGGGAGGAAAGUCCGGGCUCCAAAGAAGCCAAGCCCCCUUAGCCGGGGGUCCGUUCGGUUUAAUCCGGGCGGAACGGAUAGUGCCGCAGAAAACAUACCGCCCCGUGCAACCGGGGUAAGGGUGAAAUGGCGAGGUAAGAGCUCACCGCGCUCCGGGUGACCGGGGCGGCAGGGAAAACCCGCUUGGGAGCAAGGCCGCGCAGCGGCGGGUGCUUCGCCCAAAGCCGCGGGUAGGCCGCUUGAGGUUUUUGGCAACAAAGACCCCAGAUGGAUGACGGCAUAGAACCAAACCCGGCUUACGGCCCGGCCGGUUGA